RNAcentral lists this ribosomal RNA (128 nucleotides) under Salmonella enterica. RNAcentral's name for it is "partial 23S ribosomal RNA". It matches the Rfam family "Bacterial large subunit ribosomal RNA", at positions 1 to 127 of the family's 2925-position model. The record is from RNAcentral. Lineage: Bacteria; Pseudomonadati; Pseudomonadota; Gammaproteobacteria; Enterobacterales; Enterobacteriaceae. RNAcentral also lists the same sequence under 2 other names.
GGUUAAGCGACUAAGCGUACACGGUGGAUGCCCUGGCAGUCAGAGGCGAUGAAGGGCGUGCUAAUCUGCGAUAAGCGCCGGUAAGGUGAUAUGAACCGUUAUAACCGGCGAUACCCGAAUGGGGAAAC